Molecule: unclassified non-coding RNA, 324 nt
Filed under: soil metagenome
Description: partial contains 5.8S ribosomal RNA, internal transcribed spacer 2, and large subunit ribosomal RNA
Rfam family: 5.8S ribosomal RNA (bases 1-120)
Source: RNAcentral
GAUGAAGAACGUAGUGAAAUGCGAUAAGUAAUGCGAAUUGCAGAAUUCAGUGAGUCAUCGAAUCUUUGAACGCACAUUGCGCCCUGUGGUAUUCCGCAGGGCAUGCCUGUUCGAGCGUCAUUUCAACCCUCAAGCCCCGCUUGGUGUUGGGCCCCGCCCGCUGUGGCCGGCCCUAAAGACAGUGGCGGCGCCGCCUGGCCCUCAGCGUAGUACAUCUCUCGCUCCAGGGUCCGGUGGCCGCCUGCCAGAACCCCCCAACUCUGUGGUUGACCUCGGAUCAGGUAGGGAUACCCGCUGAACUUAAGCAUAUCAAUAAGCGGAGGA